AGCUGAACCAUCGCUACGUAUACGAAUCUUGAAGUUCAGUUAUCUUGGAUGAUUCUUUGUCUGGCAAUGUCUGUCUAUGACAAAAGCGACAUCUGGUAUGUUGAAUUUCUCACUGUGCUAUCUAAAGUAUAUUAUAAAGUACAAAUACUUCAUCAAACGAUGAUUAAUUAAAAUUGAUGUAGUUAACUUCAUUGUCGCGCUUAGCUUGUGAAUGUAUUACUAUAACUAAGCGAUUUUCGCUUCAUAGUAUUUAUUGGUGCCGUGGGUUGCAAAUGUAAAGGUCCAUAUGGACACACCGGACGCGAUUCAACAACGCGACGCGAUUUUUCGAUUUUCACUGACCGAUAACUUUGAUCCUAGUUAUAAUUUUCCAAAUAUUUGAA
This 383-nucleotide long non-coding RNA is filed under the name Paramuricea clavata. Lineage: Eukaryota; Metazoa; Cnidaria; Anthozoa; Malacalcyonacea; Plexauridae. The record is from RNAcentral.